Molecule: transfer RNA, 72 nt
Filed under: Camelus bactrianus (Bactrian camel)
Lineage: Eukaryota; Metazoa; Chordata; Mammalia; Artiodactyla; Camelidae
Also listed under: 2 other names
Rfam family: tRNA
About the family: Transfer RNA (tRNA) molecules are approximately 80 nucleotides in length. Their secondary structure includes four short double-helical elements and three loops (D, anti-codon, and T loops).
Source: Rfam by way of RNAcentral
GAGGGUAUAGCUCAGUGGUAGAGCGCAUGCUUAGCAUGCAUAAGGUUCUGGGUUUAAUCACCAGGACCUCCG